GGGCCCGCACAAGCGGUGGAGCAUGUGGUUUAAUUCGAUGCAACGCGAAAAACCUUACCAGGCCUUGACAUCCAGAGAACUUACCAGAGAUGGUUCGGUGCCUUCGGGAACUCUGUGACAGGUGUUGCAUGGCUGUCGUCAGCUCGUGUCGUGAGAUGUUGGGUUAAGUCCCGUAACGAGCGCAACCCUUAUCCUUACUUGCCAGCACGUAAUGGUGGGAACUUUAAGGAGACUGCCGGUGACAAACCGGAGGAAGGAGAGGAUGAUGUCAAGUCAUCAUGGCCCUUACGGCCUGGGCUACACACGUGCUACAAUGGGAAGUACAAAGGGUCGCAAUACCGCGAGGUGGAGCAAAUCCCAAAGCUGGUCACAGUUCGGAUCGGAGUCUGCAACUCGACUCCGUG
RNAcentral lists this ribosomal RNA (404 nucleotides) under uncultured bacterium. Its description in RNAcentral is "bacterial SSU rRNA". It matches the Rfam family "Bacterial small subunit ribosomal RNA", at positions 917 to 1322 of the family's 1533-position model. The record is from RNAcentral.